ACACGUGAGUGACCUGCCUUUUAGACUGGAACAACUUACCGAAAGGUGAGCUAAUGCCGGAUGAGUUAUAUAAGUGCAUGUUUAUAUAGGAAAAGUUGGGGAGACCUGACGCUGAAAGAUGGACUCGCGUCCCAUUAGCUAGUUGGUAGGGUAAUGGCCUACCAAGGCGACGAUGGGUAGCCGGCCUGAGAGGGUGGCCGGCCACACUGGGACUGAGACACGGCCCAGACUCCUACGGGAGGCAGCAG
RNAcentral lists this ribosomal RNA (248 nucleotides) under uncultured bacterium. RNAcentral describes it as "partial 16S ribosomal RNA". It matches the Rfam family "Bacterial small subunit ribosomal RNA", at positions 113 to 354 of the family's 1533-position model. The record is from RNAcentral.